This 229-nucleotide ribosomal RNA is filed under the name uncultured bacterium. RNAcentral's name for it is "partial 16S ribosomal RNA". It matches the Rfam family "Bacterial small subunit ribosomal RNA", at positions 568 to 796 of the family's 1533-position model. The record is from RNAcentral.
UGCGUAGGCGUCCAGGAAAGUUAUUUGUUAAAUCCUUCGGCUUAACCGAAGACCUGCAAGUAAAACUAACUGGAUAGAGUUUAAGAGAGGAAAAUGGAAUUCCUGGUGUAGCGGUGACAUGCGUAGAUAUCAGGAGGAACAUCAAUGGCGAAGGCAAUUUUCUGGCUUAAAACUGACGCUGAGGCACGAAAGCAUGAGGAGCAAACAGGAUUAGAUACCCUGGUAGUCC